CCUACGGGGGGCUGCAGUCGAGAAUCAUUCACAAUGGGGGAAACCCUGAUGGUGCGAUGCCGCGUGGGGGAAUGAAGGUCUUCGGAUUGUAAACCCUUGUCAUGUGGGAGAAAAUAAAAAAGAUAGUACAACAAGAGGAAGAGACGGGUAACGCGGUGCCAGCAGCCGGGGUAAUACAGAGGUCUCAAGCGUUGUUCGGAGUCACGGGGGGUAAGGCGUGCGUAGGUUGUAUCGUAGGUAGUGUGGGAACGGCGCGGGCUCAACCCGCGGGCGGCUCAUGAUACUGUAAGACUAGAGUACAGGAGAGGGAAGCGGAAUUCCCGGUGUAGCGGUGAAAUGCGUAGAUAUCAGGAGGAACACUAGAGGCGAAGGCGGGUUACUGGACUUUAACUGACGCUGAGGCACGAAGGCGAGGGGAGCGAAAAGGAUUAGAUACCCCGGUAGUC
Molecule: ribosomal RNA, 446 nt
Filed under: uncultured bacterium
Lineage: Bacteria
Description: partial 16S ribosomal RNA
Rfam family: Bacterial small subunit ribosomal RNA
Source: RNAcentral